This 253-nucleotide ribosomal RNA is filed under the name uncultured bacterium. RNAcentral describes it as "partial 16S ribosomal RNA". It matches the Rfam family "Bacterial small subunit ribosomal RNA", at positions 524 to 776 of the family's 1533-position model. The record is from RNAcentral.
UACAGAGGUCUCAAGCGUUGUUCGGAUUCAUGGGGCGUAAAGAGCGUGUAGGCGGCCUGGUAAGUCCGCUGUGAAAGUCCAGGGCUCAACCCUGGAAUGCCGGUGGAAACUGUCAGGCUCGAGUCCGGAAGAGGUGAGUGGAAUUCCUGGUGUAGCGGUGAAAUGCGCAGAUAUCAGGAGGAACACCAAUGGCGAAGGCAGCUCGCUGGGACGGUACUGACGCUGAGACGCGAAAGCGUGGGGAGCAAACAGG